This 452-nucleotide ribosomal RNA is filed under the name uncultured bacterium. RNAcentral's name for it is "bacterial SSU rRNA". It matches the Rfam family "Bacterial small subunit ribosomal RNA", at positions 917 to 1382 of the family's 1533-position model. The record is from RNAcentral.
GGGCCCGCACAAGCAGCGGAGCGUGUGGUUUAAUUCGAUGCUACACGAAGAACCUUACCUGGGCUUGACAUGCGCGUAGUAGUGAACCGAAAGGGGAACGAGCCUUCGGGCAGCGCGCACAGGUGCUGCAUGGCUGUCGUCAGCUCGUGCCGUGAGGUGUUGGGUUAAGUCCCGCAACGAGCGCAACCCUCGUCGCUAGUUACAUGUGUCUAGCGAGACUGCCAGGUUAACCCUGGAGGAAGGUGGGGAUGACGUCAAGUCAGCAUGGCCUUUAUGUCCAGGGCUACACACACGCUACAAUGGUCGGUACAACGGGAUGCCAAGCCGCGAGGCGGAGCGAAUCCUCAAAGCCGGCCUCAGUUCGGAUUGGAGGCUGCAACCCGCCUCCAUGAAGUCGGAGUUGCUAGUAACCGCAGGUCAGCUAUACUGCGGUGAAUACGUUCCCGGGCCUU